AGCGAGGCGACGAGGGGCUCCCCACCACGAUCACACCAUCACUCUCCCCUCCACCUCUACACCACCGGUGUCCCUUCUACACUACCGGUGUUAAUGAUGGCAGCUUUCCGUCACACUCCCUUGACCUUCGUCAGAAUGUUCUGCUUAACGUUGGUCGUGACCAUGACCAUGGCUCAGGAGGAGAGAUGUGGAUACUCUAAUAAACACUUGUAUAGAUUCUAAACAUCACUAAAGUGCACCAGGACCAGAAGGCAGUCUGUUUACUACGGAAAAUCGCUCGUGGCAGCGGGAAAGAUACUGGGGAGUCCCUCUGUGUGCCAUUGAUUGUGAGCUUUGGUUUACUGCGUGUGCCAACGAUGUCACUUGCACAUACAAUUGGACCAACAAUUUCAGGUGGUUGAAUAUGACGGGUGAUUGCCCAACAAAAGGAAGCUGCUUGACAAAUUACUGCCCCGUAAAUUCUACCUGUCAAACAUUUAAAGAAAUCUAUCUAUAGGACAGCCCGGAACUUCUGUGAAAAGGUGUGGGACAAUGCUUGGAAAUAUGCUGAACCGACAACACCAUAUACGCACCUACAGUUCAACCAAUCUGCCAUCAAUCCAAAUGAUGCUGUUGCUCUACAUUAUGCACAGAUUAUAGCUGGUUCCCAGAUGCACAGCUGCAACCUAAUGUGGUUUAGUAUACAACUUGCUGUUUGGGCAUUUAUCAAUAUUGAAUAUUGACAGUUGCAUCCUAGACUUUUCUUGUUGCCAUAGUUCAUUAAUUAACUCUUUACUUUUGACUAUAAACUUGCCCUUGCUGAGGGGGAAACGAUUCUAUUAAAAUGUUUACAAAGAAAAAAAAAUUCUGUGUAAUAUCCUGAUCACAUGAGUAAUAGUGUGCUGUAUUCUGGUUCUGCCCUUGUGCCUUGUCUACCUCUAUUAAAUUAUCUGAAAUGUGCCAGAAAUAAAAUGCUUCUUUAUUUCUAUCAGACAUCGCCCAAUGAAAUUUUGGUAGAUUCUCAACCACAUUGGAGUUGUCAAACUUGCAGCCAAGGCCGUUUUACUUGUUCUGUUUCACACGUCCCCUCUCCCCCUUAAAAAAAAAAGUUAGUUUGGAAAUCUGCCCAGUCAUGUUCUGUGAAUGUUGGCAAGGUCGUGGGCUUUGUUAAAACUAACAAACUGCACACCAUCUCUUUUUUUCUUGUAUAGUCUUUAAUAUUCUUUAAUAUAGUCUUCUUUAUUCUUUAGUAUUUUAGUAUUCUUCUUUAUUCUUCUUCUAUUCUUUAGUAUAGUCUUUAAUAUUUAGAUUAUUCAAGAUAAUGGACAGAUGGUGCUAGUCUUCCCAGCUUGGUGCUACCUUUUGAUGACUGCCACAGAUUGGAGAGAUUCUUUCUCUGGACUAAAAAUCUCUCGCUUCCUCAUUACAUGUCCCAUGCAUUGUCCUGUCCCUGCCACCAUCUCUCCCUCCUUACCAAACUAGGACGAC
Procambarus clarkii (red swamp crayfish) is the source of this 1467-nucleotide non-coding RNA. The record is from RefSeq and is a predicted model, not a curated record. NCBI's taxonomy places the organism in Eukaryota, Metazoa, Arthropoda, Malacostraca, Decapoda, Cambaridae.